AACCAACAGGGAUUGCCUCAGUAGCGGCGAGUGAAGCGGCAAGAGCUCAGAUUUGAAAUCGUGCUUUGCGGCACGAGUUGUAGAUUGCAGGUUGGAGUCUGUGUGGAAGGCGGUGUCCAAGUCCCUUGGAACAGGGCGCCCAGGAGGGUGAGAGCCCCGUGGGAUGCCGGCGGAAGCAGUGAGGCCCUUCUGACGAGUCGAGUUGUUUGGGAAUGCAGCUCCAAGCGGGUGGUAAAUUCCAUCUAAGGCUAAAUACUGGCGAGAGACCGAUAGCGAACAAGUACUGUGAAGGAAAGAUGAAAAGCACUUUGAAAAGAGAGUGAAACAGCACGUGAAAUUGUUGAAGGGGAAGGGUAUUGCGCCCGACAUGGGGAUUGCGCACCGCUGCCUCUCGUGGGCGCGCUCUGGGCUUUCCCUGGGCCAGCAUCGGUUCUUGCUGCAGGAGAAGGGGUUUCUGGAACGUGGCUCUUCGGAGUGUUAUAGCCAGGG
This 489-nucleotide ribosomal RNA is filed under the name uncultured Pichia. RNAcentral describes it as "eukaryotic LSU rRNA". It matches the Rfam family "Eukaryotic large subunit ribosomal RNA", at positions 63 to 564 of the family's 3401-position model. Lineage: Eukaryota; Fungi; Ascomycota; Saccharomycetes; Saccharomycetales; Saccharomycetaceae. The record is from RNAcentral.